UUUCCUUAGGAGGAAUCUUCGCUUGCUGCUGCUGGUAUCUGUGGUCUUAACAACAGCCUUGCAAGGAAAGCUGUGGCUGUAUUUUGGAAUAGUUUAUAGAAUCCUAAAAUUGGAGGAGAGACCCCCAAAGGCCAUCUAGUCCAACCCUUUUCUGCAAGGCAGGAAGACACAAUAUGAUCCCUCCCAACAGAUGGCCAUCCAGCCUCUGCUUAAAAGCAACCCCAUCAGCAUAGAUUUUGCUAAAAGGAGGAGAGGCAGGAAGACACAAUAUGAUCCCUCCCAACAGAUGGCCAUCCAGCCUCUUUUUAAAAGCAACCCCAUCAGCAUAGAUUUUGCUAAAAGUUGACCCAAGGAUCAUCUAGUCCAACCCACAUCUACCAUGCAAGAAAACACAAUCAAAACCCUCCCGACAGAUGGCCAUCCAGUGUCGGCUUAGAAACCUCCUGAGAAAGAACCUCUACCAGGCAGCAAAUUAUUAUUAUUAUUAUUAUUAUUAUUAUUAGGAAACUCUACCAGGCAACAGCAUAUUAUUAUUAUUAUUAUUAUUAUUAUUAUUAUUAUUAGGAAACUCUACCAGGCAGCAGCAUAUUAUUAUUAUUAUUAUUAUUAUUAUUAUUAUUAGGAAACUCUACCAGGCAGCAGCAUAUUAUUAUUAUUAUUAUUAUUAUUAUUAUUAUUAUUAUUAUUAUUAUUAGGAAACUCUACCAGGCAGCAGCAUAUUAUUAUUAUUAUUAUUAUUAUUAUUAUUAUUAUUAUUAUUAUUAUUAUUAUGUUUUCCGCUCACAAACUGCUCUGAUCAUUGGAGCUGUCCUUGUGGGUAAAGUUGUUUCCUAAGAAUGCAUCCGCACUGCAGAAGGAAUGCAGUUUGACACCACUUUGGAAUGUCUCGAGGCUAUGAAAUCCUGGGAGUUGUAGUUUUGCAAGGCCCUUAGCCUUCUCUGCCAAAGAGAGCUGGGACUUGCGCACAGAUUGUUGGAUAGAAUCCGAAUCAUCGAUGGCCCAAACGUCCAAUUAGAAAUACCUGGUCAACUGUGCCGAUAAGGAGACACACACACACAUAUAUAUGGCUGCUUUGAGUCCUUAUAGAGAGAAAAAGUAGGGUACAGAUAAACACCAUAAUAAUAAUAAUAAUAAUAAUAAUAAUAAUAAUAAUAAUAGCCUUCGGAGACAGAAGAAGAGAGGAGAGAAGAGUGGAGCUUCAGAUACCUUUCUUUGGUAGUUUUUGAACUGCCUUCGGAGACAGAAGGAGGGAAGAGAGAAGAGUGGAGCUUCAGAGAUUUUCCUUUUGUAGGUUUUGAACUGCCUUCGAAGAAAGAAGGAGGGAGAGAAGAGUGGAGCUUCAGAGACCUUCCUUUUGUAGUUUUUGAACUGCCUUUGAAGAAAGAAGGAGGGAGGAGAGAAGAGUAGAGCUUCAGAGCUUCUUUCUGUAGCUUUAGAACUGCUUUCGGAGACAGAAGGAGGGAGGAGAGAAGAGUAGAGCUUCAAAGAAUUUCCUUUUGUAGGUUUUGAACUGCCAUUGGAGAAACAAGGGAAGAGAGAAGAGUGGAGCUUCAGAGACGUCCUUUUGUAGUUUUUGAACUGCCUUUGGAGAAAGAAGGGAAAGAAGAAUAGAGACCUUCCUUUUGUAGUUUUUGAACUGCCUUUGGAGAAAGAAGGAGGGAAGAGAGAAGAGUGGAGCUUCAGUGACGUCUUUUUGUAGUUUUUGAACUGCCUUUGGAGAAAGAAGGGAGAGAAGAGUAGAGCUUCAGAAACGUCCCUUUAUAGUUUUUGAAUUGCAUUCGGAGACAGAAGAAGGGAAGAGAGAAGAGUGGAGCUUCCGAGACGUCCUUUUGUAGUUUUUGAACUGCCUUUGGAGAAAGAAGGA
This is a non-coding RNA of Anolis sagrei ordinatus, 1864 nucleotides long. The record is from RefSeq and is a predicted model, not a curated record. Lineage: Eukaryota; Metazoa; Chordata; Lepidosauria; Squamata; Anolidae.